GCCAGGUGUGGUGGUGCAUGCCUGUAAUCCCAGUGGCUUGGGAGGCUGAGGCAGGAGGACCCUGAGUUCAAAGCCAGCCUCAGCAACUCAGCAAGGCCCUAAGCAACUCAGCAAGACCUUGUCUCUA
Molecule: small RNA, 127 nt
Filed under: Marmota monax (woodchuck)
Lineage: Eukaryota; Metazoa; Chordata; Mammalia; Rodentia; Sciuridae
Source: RNAcentral